GGUGGAAGAGGCUUGGAAGGAAGACUAGCAGGCUUAUUCUGCUGAGCCCCAGAAGGCACCGGUUUGGUCUGAGCAGGGCCUUUCUUAGACGGCGGCGCCGUCACUGCCGCCGCCUGCUUAGCCGCAAUUAGCUGCGAGGGGUCCUCGGCGUCAUCAUCUCCCAACAAAUCAAAGGGAUUAACGGUCGCCAUUUCCAAAGAAUCUCGAAACCAAAAAGCCCAAAAAAGACCUCAAAAAAAGGAAAUUCCACUCCGAGAAAGGCGACCGGAAAACCUAUCUAAACAAGAGCUCCAUGAAUACAAUAAUAGAAAGAAUAAGAGACCUGUAGAAAGAAGAAGAGGAAAAAG
RNAcentral lists this unclassified non-coding RNA (347 nucleotides) under Hevea brasiliensis (rubber tree). Lineage: Eukaryota; Viridiplantae; Streptophyta; Magnoliopsida; Malpighiales; Euphorbiaceae. The record is from RNAcentral.